Molecule: long non-coding RNA, 288 nt
Organism: Lutra lutra (Eurasian river otter)
Lineage: Eukaryota; Metazoa; Chordata; Mammalia; Carnivora; Mustelidae
Exons: 2
Source: RefSeq, a predicted model, not a curated record
GACCAGAACUCUGGGAGAGAUGGAUCAUGAAUCCAGUCAUCCUCAUUUACUAGAUUUUCAGUAGUGCACUAAGGCACAAGGAGACAAGGUAAUUUGGUUUUGAUGGAGAAAGGAGACAGGUCGUGAAAAACCGGAAUAUAAAAACCAUGAAACUGGGUCCUGAAGGAGGCCCUAUGAAGGCUGAUAAGUGGAGUUAAAGAAGUAAAACAAGCCCUUCUGGCAAAAUAUUUCAUUACAGACCAGGGCCUAUACCUUAUUUGUCUGGGGGAUAAUCUGUUCAGGGAACCA